This is a long non-coding RNA of Daphnia pulicaria, 677 nucleotides long. RefSeq lists it as uncharacterized. NCBI's taxonomy places the organism in Eukaryota, Metazoa, Arthropoda, Branchiopoda, Diplostraca, Daphniidae. The transcript has 6 exons. The record is from RefSeq and is a predicted model, not a curated record.
CGAAGUUCGAAAGAAAGAAGUCCACGUCAGUAGGUCACUACGGUCUUGUAUAUUUGCGUUGUUUUUAAUUUAUUUACAAAUUUAUGCAGUUGAGUUUAAGAUAAUUGGAAAAGAAGUUGUAGCUUUCGUCACAUACGGAAACACUUCAGACCAAUUUAAAGUAAUUAAGUUGAUAAACUUUUUUACACUGAAACAAAAGUGAACAACAAACAGAAAAUGGUUUUGUUGCAGCCACCCGGUGAAAAGGGAGUUCAAGUUGAGCUGCAGCUGCUGUAAGCAGUCUGUAGCGGUGAUGUCAUCCUGAAGUGUUCUCAGUGUGUCAGUCUAGGCUGCUGAAGCUAAUUAAAGUGUGCUGUUCAAGUCUUAUCAUAGACGUCAAGCACAGCACUGAUAACAAAUUAUAAACAAGACUCUAUGAGAAGCCAUGUCAUUUGAAGAACUACACAGUCCAUAAGGUCCCUGUUUGAAAACCCGUUGGCUGCUACCUGUGAAUCUCCCUUUUUACUUCCUUAAACGGGCCGUCUUAAUUGAAGGUAACUCCUUCGAUACUGAUCAUCCACUGGACCCGACUUCAUCCGUUGGUGAAAGCUGACAAGAGAAUGCUGUAAUUCAAGACUGAUAAAUUGUGUAGUUGUUAGAUAAAUUACAAGUGCAUAUUAUCUGGGCUCCCUUGUUCA